UGAAGUGGACGAAAAGAAGCGGAGGAGGAAGGUUCCUGUAUUUCAACCUCUGCGAAUAUUUUUUAAAAAAUAUCUAAAAAAUCUACGUAGAUCUUAUAAAAUUGUGAAAAAAUAACAAAAAAUUAGUGCACACCAUCACGAUUGAGCGGAUGUGCGGGUCAUCUUCGAUGGUCUUCGUCGGGUAUCUUUAUACAGCGUUUUUGAGCGGGAGUAACGUUACAGCUGGAGCUCCACUCGGCUGCUUCUUGUACAAGUCUGACAGCGGUGCAGCAUAGACGGGUUUACAGCUUGUCUUUCUGCGUCUUUAGACUUUCUAGCUGAGUUGUCUGUUUGAAAUUAUUGCGGCGUUGUGGUAUCACGUAUGUUUGCUGUGUAAGUCGAGUAUUUAGCGUUCGUUCGACAAUUUGGCGUGUUCUGAGAUUUGCGCCAUUUUAGCUCCGUUUAGUUGCGUCUUCAGGAAUGGGCUAGUUGUCGUUAGCCAGCUGCUGUUAGCAUUAUGUAAAGUUCCCAAGCUAACCAGCUAGCCAUCUGUACUCGCUGUAUUUAGUUUUAGAAAUAACGGCCAUUACUUUAGUGACAGUUCGUUUUUAAAUGGCUGAAACCUGUAUCUUCUGAAGAAAAGAAAAUCACAAAAUAAGCUGUGCGUCAUUUUCAGAAAAGUGCUAACACUAGAGGUGAGGGGGCCGUUCAGAAGUGGGUGGAUGCUGCUGAGGGAAAUCCAGAAGUGAAAGUUUCUCUGCGAUUUCCGGAGCAGAACGUCAACUUGGGAUUGCCUUUCAUCCUGCCACAGGAGAGAGGAACUGAGCUUGGCUUUCAAGCAGCAAGUGAUCUAGGUAAGAUCAGGAAUUUGGCAGUUGCAUAUUAGCCCACGUGUUUUGCUUAGUUUAAUUUCUGUAUGUGUGUAAUGGUGGGGAUUACUCAGUAUAGUAGUGUUAUUACUACAGUAUUACUGUAGUUCAAACAGAAUAAUUAAAUCAAUAUUUAAUUCUAAAGCGAUGGAGUGACAUUUUGUACGGCGUACUGAUACUAAUGGUUCGACAGUAAUUGGUAUACAAUGCAGUGAUAUCAUAUAGUCUUAAGUCCCUUACAUUUCUGACUAAUUACUGUAUCUUUGGGGGAAAACAAAAACCUAAGGUGGGUGGAUACAAGUCAAAUUAUUAAGCUCCAAAUGAAUAAUACACACAGAUUAUUUUCGGUGUCUUACCACAUGAAAAAGAAAAAUGUUUAAAGUAACAUAGAAUUUAGGAGUAUAAACAUUUCUCUCUUCACUGCAUAUUGCACUUCGGAACACUUAAAAUGAACACACACUUGUCACAUGUAAGCAUAUAACAGAGCAGCAAAUUGGUCAUCGAAAGACACCUCUCCCAUGUUUUGCUCACCUCACUGUGUGAUUUGUGUGAUUUUAAGAUAUUUGGUUUUGCGCCUGCAGUAAAUGUCUUGACAGAUGAGACGACUGGAAAUCCACUGUCACCUUUUAAGGUCUCUGCAAUGAAUGUUAAGCAUUAAUAUGCAUCGUUUUUGUAAUGAUGAUAACACAACUAUAAUUGUCAGCCAGUGUCUUGUUUAGUUUUUGGAUGGGCAAAUACUUAAAAAAAAAAAAAAAAAAAAAAAUUCUCAACAUUACUUUUGGCUGUACAUUUAUUUACUACCAAGUCACUCUGCCUGCCUGCCUUUCAACCUGAGACUCAUCUGCAGCUGUUUAUACAGAGUUGUGGAACCUGUUUGUGUUUGACCUGCCUGAAGCUAAUUUCAGACAGCACAACUCCAUGAAAGUUUUCGUUAUUUGUCGUAGUGAAUGUAAUGCUAGAGAAAUUCCCAGUAGUUUGUAGAGGCACCGACCUCCUGCACCUUUGAUUUGUCACAGUUAGACCUCGUGCUUGAAGAAGCUGCAACGAGUGCAAGAAAAUAAUACCUUCUUUUUUCGCUCAACUGAACUGAACCCUUUGACACCAAGCUCUGCUAAUUAAUUAAUGGUAUGUGGAAGAUACUAACUUGCUGCUUAAUAAAGCAAUAUGAGUUGAUAGAGAUCUGAUGGGUGGAAGCAGGGAAUAGUCAUUCUUCUACCUCUGUCAUUUUCUGGUAGUUUGAAUAAACUAAUAGAAGAAUAGUGAGAAGAUGUGAUCUACGUUAUUGUCUGUUAAUGCCUGUGCUGCAAAUUUGUGCUCAUUGAAUGUUGAUCUUUCAAAAGUAGGAGCGACUAUAACUGACCAUUCUGAACCUGUGGUGACAAACUUCGCACCAACAGACUUUGCAUGUAGCACGUGUGACUUGGCUAGUCUUGUCUUUCAGUUCGGAGUGGGGCGAUGCUGUUUCUCAGAAGCUUCAUAGAAGCCGAGAUCCAGUGUCUAGACUGUCUAGAACACCGAGUCAGUUUGCUGGUGUGAGGCGCUCUGCUUCUGGUCAUGUUGACCCGCAGUGUGUGAACAGCCAGUCCCGGGCCGGAGCUGUGCCAGACUCCGGCCACACAGAUGCAUGUUAAGUGCGCUGUGUGUGGUUGGCAGAAGUGUAAAAACCCAUCUGUGCUCUUGACAGGUGACUAGUUGUGGGUGUGUGUAAUCUCACCCAUCUCCUAACACGCCAGCGGUUUGAGUCACACAGGAGCACCCAUGACUCAGUCAUCAUCAGGUUGGACAGAGAGGUUAGGGGGGUGGACAGGGCCAGAGUUUUGGCUCCGACCAGAGCGGUAGAUAAAACAGUGGCGACACUCCCAUAGACCUCGAUAGGAAAAAAAUGGCAGUGCUAUUUCCUCGUUAUGGGACUUUUGGAACUAUUUACAGCCAAUCUCUUGGUCAGUGGUCAAUGAGUUAAUUAAUUACACCUUCCAGCAUCCAGAAGUACAUCCCACCCUCCUGCGAUUCAGCCAUUCAGCAGAGUUUUUUUUUUUGUGGAACUUUUGAUCGUGUGGCGGCAACAUCAGAGUGGCUCUCUUUCUGUGACUCUGGCUCCGACUGCUUCCUUCAGUCGCUGUUCUCCUCUCAACUUUAUAUUUGUCCAACUGUCCUCCUUUGCCUGCUGCUCCCUGGUGGUUUCGAUUGCCCCCCCAGAUCAGCUGUGUCAUUGUCUUCUGUCAUAUCGUGUCGUGCUCUCUAAAAUAUUUGCAUGAAGCUACUUGUGCACGGCCUACACAGGCUGUGGCUGUCAGUGACGAAAAGCCCUGGAAGCCGGGAGGUGUAUGCCAAGUGGCCUAACUGAAGUACCUAUUUAAAGGAUCAGGCAUGCAAGCCAUGCUCAGCUGUUGUAAUGCUCCAACAUCCUAUGAAUUAGGAAAAUGAAAAAAAAAAAAAACCUAGAAAGAAGCUCCACUCUCGGAUAAAAGCUUAGGCUUUGCACAUGUCAACAGAAUCAGAGCAUCCAUUAUUUGAAGAUAUGUAGAUGUUUCAUGAAGUGACAGUGCGGACAGUACAGAUAAAUGAAUGCAAUAUUAAAUGUAUGCUAACACUGUUUGAAUCCCUUCAAUUUUAUUUUUAAAGUAUUAACUUUUCCUUGAUUCUUCCAGGAUGUUGAAUCUAUUUGUGCUGAUAUCUGUUAUUGUUCUUUCCCCCCCCCAGGAGAAUGGAGAUGGAGUGGUCGUGUGUGAUUGUGUGUAUGCGUAUGCGUGAGGCACCCGUCAGUGCUGCGGUCUCGUUUGUUUGUCUGUUAGUUUGUUUGUGUAUGUGUGUGAGUAUGUGUCAGUAAGUGAGGUGUGCAUCCGUCAGUGCUGCCAUCUCAGAAUGAAGUGUGUGUGUGUGUGUGUGUGAGUGAGUGUGUGGCCUGCGGUGCUGUAGCAGCACAGAAUGGUUUGUGGGUUUUACGGGGGUGCAGGCCGUACUGUGCUGCGGCAGUAACGUCUGGAAUAAGGUGUGUGUGUGUCUGUAUGUGAGAUGGUGUGCUUGGGUGUGUGAGUUGUGUGCUCUUGAUUGUGUGUGUGUGUGUGUACGUGCAUAUGGACCUCUGGAAGAUGAACUUCUCUGUUUCAAGGCAUGUUUGUUUAAGGCUGACUUCAGUUCAGAGCAUGCAAAGCAGGUGAGUGUCUGACCCGGAAGUGUGAUUAUAAAGAGUGAGUGUCUGUGUAUGCGUGAGGGUGUCCUUUCGUUCUCUUGAAAAAUGAUUAAACAGACCUAUGUGUGUCCUUGUGUUGGUGUGUUGCUAUCUAGAGAGAGAGAGAGAGUGUGUGUGUGUCUGCGUGCGCGCUGGUUCUGGUGGUCCUGCUUUAGCAGCACGUAAAUAUUGGAGUUAAUCGUGUACUGAAUUCUCCAGUAUUGAUCGUGCUGCUGUAGUAAGGCUGGCUUCUCUCUUCAGACUUGCUCCUAACUAAAGACUCGGUGCCCGCAGCACUGUGAAAACCACCACCUACAAGGCUUCUGAGGUCCCCCAUAGUUCACACAACAGUAUACUACAUUCACUACAUAUGCAUUUGUCCAGAUAUUUAGCGCUGUUCAGGAAUUUACAUGAAUGAAAAUGAAUGUCUUGGAAAUUGUUUGGAUGUUAAUGUAAUGCAAGUUUGUUGCCAAGGUUUUGUAUUGUACCAAUUACAAAUAAAACUUGAACUUAUUUUA
Long non-coding RNA from Sardina pilchardus (European sardine), 4535 nucleotides. RefSeq lists it as uncharacterized. NCBI's taxonomy places the organism in Eukaryota, Metazoa, Chordata, Actinopteri, Clupeiformes, Clupeidae. The transcript has 3 exons. The record is from RefSeq and is a predicted model, not a curated record.